CCGAGUGAGGGCCCCUGGCCCGACCUCCAACCCUUUGUUAUCAAAACCACUGUUGCCUCGGGGGCGACCCGGGCCCGUCGGCCCUGGGCCCCCGGUGGACAAUUUCAAAACACUGCAUCUUUGCGUCGGAUUACAAAGUUUAAUGAAUUA
RNAcentral lists this unclassified non-coding RNA (150 nucleotides) under uncultured fungus. RNAcentral's name for it is "sequence contains ITS1, 5.8S rRNA gene". The record is from RNAcentral. Lineage: Eukaryota; Fungi.